Molecule: long non-coding RNA, 240 nt
Filed under: Mytilus galloprovincialis (Mediterranean mussel)
Lineage: Eukaryota; Metazoa; Mollusca; Bivalvia; Mytilida; Mytilidae
Source: RNAcentral
CGUAUUCUCUUCUCUUUUAAUACUUAAUUCUAUACUGCCCGUUCUCCUGAUCACACUGACUUGUUGUUUUCACAAUGUUUUUACUGUUCCGAACGGAUGAUAUAUCCAAUAACCUAACUGUAACGUUCCAACUUGAAAUUAAAUAAUUGCGGAUUUCAGCCUUAAAAUAACUGAGAUGAAGUUUUUAUCUUGUAUGAUAGAUCAGUUGUUUGUCUCUCAAAUAGGGUUAGCUGUAACCAU